CGUAGCCGCGGUAAUACAGAGGGUGCGAGCGUUAAUCGGAUUUACUGGGCGUAAAGCGUGCGUAGGCGGCUUCUUAAGUCGGAUGUGAAAUCCCUGAGCUUAACUUAGGAAUUGCAUUCGAUACUGGGAAGCUAGAGUAUGGGAGAGGAUGGUAGAAUUCCAGGUGUAGCGGUGAAAUGCGUAGAGAUCUGGAGGAAUACCGAUGGAGAAGGCAGCCAUCUGGCCUAAUACUGACGCUGAGGUACGAAAGCAUGGGGAGCAAACAGGAUUAGAUACCCCUGUAGUCCCUGUCUCUUAUACA
RNAcentral lists this ribosomal RNA (301 nucleotides) under uncultured bacterium. RNAcentral's name for it is "partial 16S ribosomal RNA". It matches the Rfam family "Bacterial small subunit ribosomal RNA", at positions 510 to 808 of the family's 1533-position model. The record is from RNAcentral.